CCAGCAGCCGCGGUAAUACGAGGGUGCAAGCGUUAAUCGGAUUUAUUGGGCGUAAAGGGCGCGUAGGCGGGCUUUCAAGUCAGAUGUGAAAUCCCGGAGCUUAACUCCGGAACUGCAUUUGAAACUGGGAGUCUUGAGGGUAGACGGAGAGAACGGAAUUCCACAAGUAGCGGUGAAAUGCGUAGAUAUGUGGAAGGACACCUGUGGCGAAAGCGGUUCUCUAGUUUGACCCUGACGCUGAGGCGCGAAAGCAAGGGGAGCAAACAGGAUUAGAUACCCUGGUAGUCCUUGCCGUAAACGAUGUGUACUCGGUGUAGCUGGUCUCAACCCCAGCUGUGCCUAAGCGAACGCAUUAAGUACACCGCCUGGGGAGUACGCUCGCAAGGGUGAAACUCAAAAGAAUUGACGGGGACCCGCACAAGCAGUGGAGCAUGUGGUUUAUCGAUGCACGCGAGACUACCUGGGCUUGACAUGCAGUAGACCGGUGCAGAGAUGCACUUUUCCUUCGGGACUACUGUGCAGGUGCUGCAUGGCUGUCGUCAGCUCGUGCCGUGAGGUGUUGGGUUAAGUCCCGCAACGAGCGCAACCCUUAUCGUUAUUUGCCAACAUUUAGGAUGGGAACUCUAACGAGACUGCCUGGGUUAACCAGGAGGAAGGUGAGGAUGACGUCAAGUCAGCAUGGCCCUUAUGUCCAGGGCUACACACGUGCUACAAUGGUCGGUACAGAAGGCAGCGAAGUCGGAAGGCGGAGCAAAUCCUAGAAAGCCGGCCCCAGUUCGGAUUGUUGUCUGCAACUCGACAACAUGAAGUUGGAAUUGCUAGUAAUGGCGUGUCAGCAACAACGCCGUGAAUACGUUCCCGGGUCUUGUACACACCGCCCGUCACAUCAUGGGAGUUGGUUUUACCCGAAGCCGCUGACUCAACCGCAAGGGGAGAGGCGUCGAAGGUGAGGCUGAUAACUGGGAUGAAGUCGUAACAAGGUAGCCGAU
This 989-nucleotide ribosomal RNA is filed under the name uncultured Chlamydiae bacterium. Its description in RNAcentral is "bacterial SSU rRNA". It matches the Rfam family "Bacterial small subunit ribosomal RNA", at positions 508 to 1504 of the family's 1533-position model. Lineage: Bacteria; Pseudomonadati; Chlamydiota; Chlamydiia. The record is from RNAcentral.